Molecule: ribosomal RNA, 429 nt
Filed under: Chloroflexota bacterium
Lineage: Bacteria; Bacillati; Chloroflexota
Description: Chloroflexi bacterium partial 16S ribosomal RNA
Rfam family: Bacterial small subunit ribosomal RNA
Source: RNAcentral
UGGGGAAUAUUGCACAAUGGGCGCAAGCCUGAUGCAGCCAUGCCGCGUGUAUGAAGAAGGCCUUCGGGUUGUAAAGUACUUUCAGCGGGGAGGAAGGCGAUAAGGUUAAUAACCUCAUCGAUUGACGUUACCCGCAGAAGAAGCACCGGCUAACUCCGUGCCAGCAGCCGCGGUAAUACGGAGGGUGCAAGCGUUAAUCGGAAUUACUGGGCGUAAAGCGCACGCAGGCGGUCUGUCAAGUCGGAUGUGAAAUCCCCGGGCUCAACCUGGGAACUGCAUUCGAAACUGGCAGGCUAGAGUCUUGUAGAGGGGGGUAGAAUUCCAGGUGUAGCGGUGAAAUGCGUAGAGAUCUGGAGGAAUACCGGUAGCGAAGGCGGCCCCCUGGACAAAGACUGACGCUCAGGUGCGAAAGCGUGGGGAGCAAACAGG